RNAcentral lists this ribosomal RNA (253 nucleotides) under uncultured bacterium. RNAcentral describes it as "partial 16S ribosomal RNA". It matches the Rfam family "Bacterial small subunit ribosomal RNA", at positions 524 to 776 of the family's 1533-position model. The record is from RNAcentral.
GACGUAGGAGGCAAGCGUUGUCCGGAGUUACUGGGCGUAAAGCGCGCGCAGGCGGUCACGCAGGUCAUCUGUGAAAGCACCCGGCUCAACCGGGUUGUUGCGGGUGAAACCGCGUGACUUGAGGUCGGGAGGGGUCGGUGGAAUUCCCGGUGUAGUGGUGAAAUGCGUAGAGAUCGGGAGGAACACCCGUAGCGAAGGCGGCCGACUGGACCGAUCCUGACGCUGAGGCGCGGAGGCCAGGGGAGCGAACGGG